AGCAAGAUAAGCUAUUCAAGCUAGUGGGUUCAUACCCCAAAAAAGAGAAACCUCUCUUGCUA
RNAcentral lists this transfer RNA (62 nucleotides) under Pontoscolex corethrurus. RNAcentral's name for it is "tRNA-Met". Lineage: Eukaryota; Metazoa; Annelida; Clitellata; Crassiclitellata; Glossoscolecidae. The record is from RNAcentral.